CAAAUCAGAUACAUAAAAUUAGAUAUACAUCAAUGACACGUAAAAUUAACCACAACAAAAUAGAAAAGGACAUGACAUGAACAAAAUAUGUUUAAAAGAGGAUAACACCCGUUCAACAAUAGAUACGUAUGUCUAUACAAUAUGUCAAGUCAGUAUCCUUAGCUUUAAUGUUAUUGCUCUGAGUGUUCCUGAUGAAAGUAAAUCAAUAAACGUGUUGCGGACGCAUGACAAUUAUAAAAAGUUGUUUUCAGUUUUUACAGAACUGGGUCAGUACGGCUGCUGGUGGUCUAUCAGUCUCUGCAUGUAUCAUCGGCUUAUUAAUCAGUAUUUAGGUAAUGACAAAGAAUUAAAAAAAAUCAUAUACCAC
This 367-nucleotide long non-coding RNA is filed under the name Mytilus galloprovincialis (Mediterranean mussel). Lineage: Eukaryota; Metazoa; Mollusca; Bivalvia; Mytilida; Mytilidae. The record is from RNAcentral.